UUUACAGCAAUUAUGAUGCAUUACUUUUUGCAUGAAAUUAGGACUGCAACAAAAUAGAUGGCGAUUGAUUUAGUCAUCGAUUCGUUGGAUGUAUGCAGUGCGCAUGCGCUGAGGCUCUUUUUUUUAUUUUCUUUUUUCCUUUCGUUCUUUCCUAAACUUUUAUUUAGGAACUGCAAAAUUUACAAAAAGCUGAGAAACAAUAAUCAAAAUAAGUACAAAAAAGUACAAAACAGCGCCAGGGCGGCGGCAGUAAGCCAGCCAAUGAUGUGGUAUGUCCAGCUCACGUGACCAAGCCGUGUUCUUUGUCUGGAAACAUUCGAAAAAUGGCGGAGGAAAACUGGAGCGAUAGUGUAAGUGCAUUGGAAAAAAGUGUACGACUUAAGUUGUCAAAAGUGUGGGAAUUCUUCACCCUAAACACUGCAAAGAAGACAGUUUCCUGCAAAAUGUGCAGCAUCGACCUGGCGUGGCACGGAAGUACGACAUCGCUUCUGGAGCACCUGAAGAGGAAGCAUGUUGAAUCCAUGGAUGAAGAAAAAAACUCACGAAAGAAACAACCCAGCAUUAGAGACUUGGUACAAAGGAAGGUGUGCAAGCGGCUGCACUGACUGAUAGUGUCCUAAAUAUGUUGGUAACUGACAUGAGGGCACUAUCAAUGGUGGAGGAUGACGGUUUCAGAAAAAUGAUUUACGUCCUCAACCCUGGUUACACUCCCCUCAAGGACCCAUUUUACCAAACAGAUGGAGAAAAAGUAUCAGCAGACAUUUCAAGCUAUGUAAACUGACAUUAAAGCCACCCAGAGCAAAAUUGUUCUGACCACUGAUGUGUGGACAAGUGUAGCCUACCUUGACAUUACAUUGGAGAGGAAUGGAACAUGAAGUCAAUCUGCCUUACGACCAUGCCACUAGAGGAAAGACAUUGAACAUCUAACAUUGCAGAAUGGUUGUAAUAGGUAGUAGGCAGGUUUGAAAUUCCCCUAAGCAAAAUUAUUGCUAUUGUGCAUGACAAUGGUGCACUUUAUAAAUAAAACAAACGUUUUUCUAACACUUGCCUUGUUAUUGUUAUGUUUGGCAAGUCAAAAGGACAUGGUGCCAGUAUCCGUUUUUUUAAAAUAAAGUAUUGGAAAAGAUAAAAA
Molecule: long non-coding RNA, 1132 nt
Organism: Nerophis ophidion (straightnose pipefish)
Lineage: Eukaryota; Metazoa; Chordata; Actinopteri; Syngnathiformes; Syngnathidae
Exons: 2
Source: RefSeq, a predicted model, not a curated record